Molecule: non-coding RNA, 72 nt
Organism: Phrynosoma platyrhinos (Desert horned lizard)
Lineage: Eukaryota; Metazoa; Chordata; Lepidosauria; Squamata; Phrynosomatidae
Source: the annotation of a GenBank genome assembly
GCCAGCGUGGCAUAGUGGUUUGAGUGUUGGACUAUCACUCCGGAGCUCAGGGUUCAAAUCCCAACUAGAGCA